This is a long non-coding RNA of Cavia porcellus (domestic guinea pig), 6248 nucleotides long. RefSeq lists it as uncharacterized. The record is from RefSeq and is a predicted model, not a curated record. The transcript is spliced from 3 exons. Lineage: Eukaryota; Metazoa; Chordata; Mammalia; Rodentia; Caviidae.
UGCCAAACAUGAAAUCUCUGUGAGUCUUGAUUUUGUGAGGAAAGGAGAGGAGGGAGGAGCAAACAUGCCAAUAACAUCAAGUCAACCUUAGAUCUUGGAUGGACAGUGCUAAAAUGGGCACUGUGACAAAUGACAAAUGAGUGGCAGCAAAUUACAGAGACAAAGAACAGAACACUGAUUUUACUUUGUCCUGAGGCCUCUUGGUUUUAACUCUCUGUUCCUAAGAGACACCUGAACUAAGUAACGUUUCAUCGUAACAUAUAAUUAAACUACCACCUUUCCAUGCUUUGUGGGAAGAUCAUAAACUAGUGCCCUGGAUUACUUAAGCGAGAUUGCUGAUAGCUGUCAUAAUGUCUUGUGAAAACUGGGCCCUAGAGCCACUGUUGAAAUUUAGGGUGUACUGAUUUGUUUAGCAGCAGUGUAUCCAGGGUGGAUGAUCUUUCUCAAACAUUUCUCUUCAGGUCUUGGUUCUUACAGGCUGAUUACAGAGUUCAGUCAGGAACUCUCAGGGGUUGACACUCAAGACUCCUGGCUACUUGCUAGUGUUUUUGAAUUAUGUGAAGUUUCAGUGAUCGUGUUAUUGAUACUUGGCAUUCCUGUACUCCCUCAUACAAAUACUGUCGCAUGGAUGAUGGCAGAUGAAAUGGGCUCUAUCUCUAUUCUUACACUGAAGAAUUUAUUAUAUAUAUUUAAGAUCUCUCUCCAAGUCUUAGAAGGGGCAGAGAGCUAUGUGAGGCAGCCAGCUCCACAAAUCGCUAAUCCCAGGGCACAGCCUGAGAGUCUCUGAGAAGGGAAAUGGAUUCCUUCUCUAGACACAGGACAAGACAGGUGUCCGCAGGCAGAAGGCGAACAAGGGGCCAUGGGCUAUAACCCCAUCCCCUCACUGAGCAUUACCUUACACCACCUUGUGGCCUCCAUGCUCAGGUGCUCCCCACUGUUCAGUGCCUUUGAGGCCAUGUGGAAAAGCAGAGGCCACAGGUGCAGGGCCUCACCAGGCGCCCUCAGUGAUCUAAACGCAGGACCGCACCUCCUCUGCCCUGGCUCCUACCCUCUCUGCUAGCAUGGCACUUUCCCCCUCAGAUCCACUGUGAGGUAGAGUGGAUCCUUGGAUUGUGAGUCACCUGUUCUGCAAGCGUUCUGCAAGAUGAGCAAAGGUUGGUAAUAAAUUUUAACUUGGUAAACAAGUGAUGUCUUGCAAUAAGAGUAGUGCUCCCUCCUUCCUCUCCUCCCUCUCCCUGUCCCGCCCUAGCUCCCUCACUGGGGGAGCAUGGGUGAUCAUCUCCCAGCAGGAAGACUGGUAAGGGAGAUGUAUCUGCAGAGGAGGAGGAGGAGAAAAAGGCAGAGGAGUCUCUCACUUCAGAAGGAAGCCACUGAGUGAAAACUACACGAAAAGAAGAUUCCAUUGAGCCAUUAGACGGCAGUGAUUCGGCAGUGACAGUGAAGUGUCACCAGUAACCCUCCUCUUCUGGUCUUCCUCACACUAGCCACAAAGGAUAUGGUGGUGCACACCUGUGAUCCCAGCUUUCGGGAGACUGAGGCAGCAGGAUCACUGCAAGUUUAAGGCCAGCCUGAGAGAAGCCUGUUGCUAUCGGAUUGCCUACCAAAAAGAUAUUUCGGGGCUACAUGGCGGUAGCUUACCGGUAGAGUACUUGGCUUGCAUGUGCCCAGGUUUGAUCCCUCAGCACUGAAGGAGGGAGGGAGGGAAGGAUUUUGAUGAUUCUCACUAUAAUCAGUAAACUAUCGCUCUGAGAUACCUGAAGCACAUGUUCCCCCUGGGGCUGGGCUCUACUGCUUCUUCCACCUGUGGUCACAUCAUCUCUGCCCUCUCAGGACCACUUUAGGUGAAAACACAAUUUUGAAAACUAUAUGCCGUGUGAGGGGAGGAUUGAUGAGAUAAUUGCUCAGAUUUCUUGCAGCUCCAAAGUUCUGUGAUCUCGUGAGAUGAGUUGUUAAAGAAAGGUGUUAUGCCUAUGAAAACCAUCUAAAUAAAUCGAAAUGAUAAAAAAUAUCUGAGAGGUGCUGAGGACAAACAGGUACACUCAUGUUUACCUGUGAAAAUAUUUUUGCAGUAAGCAGUGUGUGUGUGUGUGUGUGUGUGUGUGUGUGUGUGUGUGUGUGUGUGUACACAUAGGUAUGUAACCUAGCAUUUCUACUUUUGGAGAUUUAACAGUUAAGGAUGGUUUUUGGUCACAAUUACCAGAACCCUGCUUCUAGAGUUUAAAUGUAUAGAAGUUUGUGUUUCUGACCUACCAAGAGGUUGAGAGGUAGGCAGUUUCUGGCAUGGGCUUGACAGUCAGAUUCUGUUCAAGACAGACUCUGGGAUCCUCUUGGUCACAAGAAAGCCAUCUAUGGUAGUCACAGAAAUUCACUGCCCAGAUUUCUCACUGUGGAGAGAGCCACAGUGGACGGACAGACCAUCUCAGCUGUCAGAGGCUCUGACACCAGUGAGGGGACAGAGCAGAGCUGCAGUGCAGCCCCAGGCCUGUAAGAUGCAGUGAAGGACGGUGGUGGAACAGCUGGGACAGCUGGGAAAAUGUGAAUCAGGUCGGUAGAGCAGCAUAUAGCAGCGAAUCAAUGUUACUUUCUUGAUUUUUGAUAAUUGUACUAUGGUCAGGUAAGAGAAUUUCUUAUUUUUAGAAAUGUACUCACAUGCUUAGUGGCAAUAGGAAAUUGUAUCUACAACUAAUUUGUAAAUGGUCCAGGGAAAAAAUAUUCCAGGAGAGGAAUGGAAAUGUUAACAUUUGGGGACUACAGCAUACAGUUGGGGGUUUUUUUUGUACCUUUUUUAUAAGUCUGAAAUUGCUUCAUAAUACAAAGCUAAACGCAUCUAAAAAUAUUGAUGUUCACAGUUGAACAAAAUUGUCAGGGUCUAUAGCAUAAAAAAGGGUAAAAUGGUACUGUUGACCGUUUGUUUGUUUGUUUGUAUAAGACAAGGCCUCACUUUGUAGUGCAGGCUGGCAUUGAAUUCACCUCAAACUCAAGAUCUUCCUGCCUCAGCUUCCUGAAUGCUGGGGUUAUUGGCAUGUGGCACCAGGUGAAAAUGGUAUACUGUUAUCAGCUUACUCCAUCUUAUGUUUUAUUCAUUUAUCACUUAGAUGUCUCUACGUUACCUAUUGUCAAUGGAAACUUGCUACUCUUCAAAAUAAAUGAAAGAGAGAUAGCAGUUUUUAAGGUCCUGUUUUUGUUAGGAGAAACAGCAAUUUUUAAGGUCCUGAUCAGCCUCUGAUCUCUGAGCACUCUCCAGGCUCUGGCGUUCUAAUCUCAGUUCUGUCCACAGGGCUCUGGGUGCUUUGUAUUUACCCCAAGGUUAGGAUCUCAAAACUCCUCUGCGUUGAACUUCUACUAAGAUGGUCUCUUGUUUCCUUAAACAAUAUUCUUGUCCAGCCCUGGGGCUCUUCCCCUGCCUUGUCACCUGAAUCUCCCUCAGGUGGUCAGAAAUAACAAGCCAAGUGUUUAUCUCUCCAGAUGUUUAAGGGCCCCAAAGCGGUAGGAACAAGCCCUGGGAACAAAACAGACAGAAGCUACACUCUCACGGGAAAGCCACAUUCUAGAAGCGACAGAGAAAACAUGAGAUGCAUGUUCAACAGGUACCUACGGACAGGUUGCCAUCCGAGAGAAAAAGGACACUUGUCUUAUGGAGCUCCUGGUCCGGACCCAGCAAGCCGUGUUGGAGUGAAACAGCCCGGGGUCGAGGUUCUGGGCGACUUCCGAGAAACCAUUAGAGAACAUCUUCCUCCUGGCACCCCAUCGAGCGGGCACAACCUGGAUGCAUUCUUUCCAGGAAGGAGAAUAAGCAAAAUGUCAUUGGGUCUUCCCGGAAACAGGCGACCUAAGCUCCUGUUGGCGGAGUCAGGGCCUGGUGCAGCUGGGCCCCUUGACCUGGAGCAGACCAGACGCAAUGAGGCAGGUACUCCUAGGACCAGGAGGCUCAAAGGGUGUGAGCUGUCACCUGCACUGAGGCUCCAGCGAAGCCGCAUGGGACCAGUCCCAGUCCCGAAGGGGCCCUGGCUCCCAGCCCUUCUGCCCUUCGAAUUAGCAGGGCCGACUCCAACACGACCCUUACUUCACUGAUUAUUUUUUCCGUCUCUAGUAAGUCCUUUCUUUCACGAUAGAGAAUCUCAGAAUCAAAACCAACUGGUGGAACCGUCUCAGUGCGGCUGUUCUCCCAGUGGGGCACCAACCCAUUUGUCUGCAGGAAUGAAUCGCAUCUCCAGGGCCUCCCCACAAAUGCCAUCACCCUGAGGCUGUGAUUUCAACUCACAACUAGCAAGGGGACACGCAUUUCAAAGGAAACAGCUAGGUCUCAAAAGCUUUUCUAUCAUCUCGCUUUAUACAUGUUCCUUAAAAUCAUCCUGAUGAAGUGAUGCUCUCCUGAUGCAAACUUCACCUCCUGCUGCAGAGACACUUGGUCAAUGCUGUGUUCUGGGGUUUUCUGGGACAGAGAUCUACAUAUUAGUGACAGCCCCAAGGAGCUUUCAUAAUGUGAGUCGUGUUUAUUUACUCUUACCAAGUUCACAUUUAAAACAUAAGUUUGUGGGCCAGGGAUAUAGCUCAGUGGUGCCAAUAAAUAAAUAAAUUAACUAAUUAAAAUAAAAUCAAGGCGGCAGGGCACUGGGGACUAAGCAUGGGGGGUCCUGAGUGAGCUUCAUGCUCCGUUACUGAGUCCCAGCCCCCAUCCACAAAGUGAGAAGCCGUUAGCAUUUUUAUUUAAAAAUAAUAAUAAUAAACACACAUGUAAACAUAAAUAUUUUUCACGACAGUGCGAGGAGUGUCUUUGCCAUACUUUUUUGAACUCACUAUGUAGCCCAGGCUGGCCUCGAACUCACAGCUGUCCUCCUGCCUCAGCCUCCUGAAUGCUGGGAUUGCAGGCGUGCAACACCACACCCAGUCCUGUUUUACAUUUUUACAAACACCCUUAACAUUUGGCCCAGUAAAAGGCAGUUGAGUGCCUUGCAGCUUCUGUACUCACUUGAAUUUCAUAUCUUGGUCACAGAGCUGUUAGAUUCCCAGCACCCCAAGGGAUGAUGAGAGGGGCAAGUCCACAGGGCCCACCUCAAAGGUCUAGGGCAGCCCCCAGGAUCCCUGAGACAUACUCGGAGACCAGCAUUAGAGAUACUGCAGGCUGGUAGCAAUGUAGAUGGGUCCUUUUCUUCCUUACAGGUAAAUGCUCCUUACUUGACUCUCCUCAUAUCCUCCUGGCCUCUAACUUCAUGAGCUUCUUCUCACCAAAUUCUUUCUCCACCACCAUCAGCAUCCUAAAAUGACAGGGUAACUUUUAGUAAGCAGCUUCUAUCAGUCAAGUGCUAGUUAUGGGUACCCCAUCUCCUGAGCUGGAUUCAGUGAACAGCACUUGUCUUGAGCCAUAAAAUAUAAUACAUAAGAGAGCAGUAUAAACGUGGGUGGUGGGUACAGGAGAGGAAUUAGCCCUGCACUGUGCUGUCCCCUACACAGCCAAUGUCACCGGUACAGUCUGUGCUCCAGGCAAUCAAGUUACAGCAAAUAUAACCGAAAACUGCCUAGUAAUGCUAGGGGUUUACCACCUGUGCAGCCACAUCGCUAGCUAGCUGUCCAGGGCCGCACACAGUUCCCAGGUCCUGUGAUGGACGUACCUGUGACCUACACUAAGCAUUCUGUUUGCUGUCACCUUUUAUCUCUGGGCUAGCUCCUGGGGACAGGCAGUAUUACCAGCCCUACCAUACUGAUGCAGAAAAUGAGACAUGGAAAAGACAGUGAAAUACCCAAACCAUAGAGCAAGUACAUUAAGAAAAGAAGAGUCUAGCCGGGCUUGGUGGUACACACUUGUAAUCUUGGCACCCAGGAGGCUGAGACAAGAAGGUCACCGAGAGUUUGAGGCCAGUUUGGGCUACAUAGUGAGACCUUGUCUCAAACAUAACAACAACAAAAAAAACAAAAACCAAAGUAGAAUGCAGGAGUCCAAUCUAGGACCACCCAACUCUAUAUUUCAUGAUUUAAUUGUACUUGAUCUUUCUAAAUAGUAAGGAUCUUAUUUCAAACUAUAAUUUUGAAGGAAAAUCUCUCAUUUUAUGUACUCCAUGGGCCUUUAAGUUUUUCAGUUUUGUAAACUCAGUGCAAAUGGUUACAUGUCUUUUGGGAACCUUGCUUUUGAAAUUUUAUGUUUUCUUUUGAACACUGGGCCACUCUGCAGUGGCUUCAGAAAGCAUUGAAUCUCUAGCUAGACGCUGGUUUUGGGGAAUCCUGAUCUCAAAUAAAUAUCCUUUGAGUUUUUA